This 899-nucleotide long non-coding RNA is filed under the name Olea europaea subsp. europaea. Lineage: Eukaryota; Viridiplantae; Streptophyta; Magnoliopsida; Lamiales; Oleaceae. The record is from RNAcentral.
CUCUAUUCCUAGUAAUUAUGGAGUAUGAGUCAUGUCGAAUUGAUAAAGUUUCACGCUCUUACGUUACGAUUCUCAACCUUUACCAUGACUUGGAAUCGACUAUAAAAAAUCAUAAAAGAUUUUUUUUUUAAUUUUUAUAUUUAAAUCUAUAAAAAUAGACAUAUAGACAUGAAAAAUGAAAGAAGUAUAUUUCACUUUCUUGAAAUAUAACAAAACAAGCUCUAUUCUCAAGAAUUAUGGAGUAUGAGUGAUGUCGAAUUGACAAAAUUUCAUGCUUUUUGUUUCCUUUACCCUGACUUGGAAUCGACUAUAAAAAAAGUUCAACGGAAAUAUUUUAAUAUCUAAAACGAUAGACAUGUAAAAGAAAGAAGUAUUAAUUUCUCACUUUCUUGAUGUGGGCAGCAAUGGAUUUGCAGUCCAUAACAUCAUAGAGAUCCAGAGCUUGAGAAGCAGAAGCCAUAGCUUGCAUCUGCAUCUUCAAUGGCAUAUCAGUAUCUUCUAUCAAAGCUUUUCCUUCCAACAUUUUUCUCUUCAAAUUAAAUCCCACUUCUACUUCAAGAUUUCUGAUAAACCCCAGAUUUUUAUAUGCCUGUACUCAGUAGUAAUCCGGUUUCUGUAGGUAUAUGUGUAUAUAUAGGUGGCUUCCAAGUGUGAAUGAGCUAUUUGCUGUUAAUUCUGGUGGUGGCACAUAGUCCAAUUUGUUUCUGUAGUCUUAUUUUUUUUCCCUCUCUUUAAGGGGGGCUUUUAACUUUAUUCUACGUUUGGCACUGAUCAUCUUAAGUGGAUAAAGAUGUUGUGGAUAAAGAUGGUGAGGCCUAAAAAUAAUCCCAAGAUAUAUAUGAAUUUUAGUCUAUAGUUAAUUUGCUACAUUGUUGAAGUUUUAGAUUCAAAGAAAUAAU